RNAcentral lists this ribosomal RNA (398 nucleotides) under uncultured Baldinia. RNAcentral's name for it is "partial small subunit ribosomal RNA". It matches the Rfam family "Eukaryotic small subunit ribosomal RNA", at positions 30 to 432 of the family's 1831-position model. The record is from RNAcentral. Lineage: Eukaryota; Dinophyceae; Peridiniales.
GCUUGUCUCAAAGAUUAAGCCACGCGUGUCUCAGCAUAAGCUUUUGUAAGGCGAAACUGCGAAUGGCUCAUUAAACCAGUUAUAGUUUACUUGGCGGUUGAUGUUUAUAUGGAUACCUGCGGUAUUUGAAGAGCGAAUACAUGCGCUAUACCCCGACUUCUGGAAGGGCUGUGUUUAUUAGAUACAGAACCAAUCUAGGCUUGCCUGGUUUUGUGGUGACUCAUGACAACUGAAUUAAUCGUAAAGCAGCUGCUGGCGAUAAACCAUUCAAGUUUCUGACCGAUCAGCUUCCGACGGUAAAUUGGCCUACCGUGGCAACGACAGGCGACGAAGAACUAGGGUUUGAUUCCGGAGAGGGAGCCUGUGAAACGGCUACCACAUCUAAGGAAGGCAGCAGG